Molecule: transfer RNA, 72 nt
Filed under: Candidatus Moraniibacteriota bacterium
Lineage: Bacteria; Candidatus Moraniibacteriota
Also listed under: 1 other name
Description: tRNA-Thr
Rfam family: tRNA
About the family: Transfer RNA (tRNA) molecules are approximately 80 nucleotides in length. Their secondary structure includes four short double-helical elements and three loops (D, anti-codon, and T loops).
Source: RNAcentral
GCCGACUUAGCUCAAUGGUAGAGCAACUGUUUUGUAAACAGUAGGUUAUGGGUUCAAAUCCCUUAGUCGGCU